ACAUCGGUAGUUCAGUGGUAAAAUGCUCGCCUGCCACGCGGGCCGGUUCGAUUCCCGGCCGAAGCA
Molecule: non-coding RNA, 66 nt
Organism: Cordylochernes scorpioides
Lineage: Eukaryota; Metazoa; Arthropoda; Arachnida; Pseudoscorpiones; Chernetidae
Source: the annotation of a GenBank genome assembly